Long non-coding RNA from Helianthus annuus (common sunflower), 969 nucleotides. RefSeq lists it as uncharacterized. The transcript is spliced from 3 exons. The record is from RefSeq and is a predicted model, not a curated record. NCBI's taxonomy places the organism in Eukaryota, Viridiplantae, Streptophyta, Magnoliopsida, Asterales, Asteraceae.
UCAAGAUCCUCAGCCAACCAUUGGAUCAAUUAUUUGAUUGUUUCUUUUAUGCUUCACAUGUUUAAAUAUCAUGCACCCAUUUAGUUAUAGGUUGGGUAAUUAGAAAUUAUAUUACACUUCAAAAUAUAAUAAACCAAAAGGGACAAUGAAGGAAAGAAUACAGCUGGUCUCGGCCAGCCAUUUUGUGUGCCAAAACACAUCUACAGCCACUUCUUUUCCCAGCCUUCAUUGGUUGAUUUUAAGACUCCAUCUUUCCAACCAACUUAUAAUUAAUACUCUCUUAACUUCAACUCAACAACUCCCCUAAGCCUCUUUACGUGACAUUUAUUAGGAUCAGAUUGUCUUUAUAUUUAACUUCUCAAGGCAUCACCUUGAAUCAAGUUGUCGCCUUAAUCAGCCAUAUUUCCCAUUUCUUCUUCGAUUGAAAUUUUCUUUCUUAUUUCCAUCCUUUCAAACAAGGUACACCAAACACUUACCAUAUAUCAUAUUCGGAAUUUCUUAAGUUACAAAAACACAAGGAAUUGGAAAUCGCUUAUAGGUAAACCAUAACCACUGUGAUGAUUCAGAGAACUCGACACAAACACACCACACAAAAAAAAAACUACCCUCUGCACCUCGCCGAAAAACGCAGACGUCGCCGGAGGACACAAGUACGUCGCCGGGACUCACCGGAGACCUACGUACAUCAACGGAGUCACCUCCUCCCGUUUGUUUCACGCGGGUUCUCGCCGGAAACCAAACGAAGGACUACGGACAUCGCGACAGGGAGCAUUUCAACUCGUAACGUCACCGAAGCCGUACGGGGUUCACAACGGGAAUCCUCUCAUCAUCAUUCGGAUAAUCACUCUCAUCCGUUCGGUUUCCCUAUCUUUUCCUCGCGCGUUAUUUCAAGGAAUCUCCAUACGCAAACACUGUUGAUGAUGAUGAAAUGAAAGAGGUAGCACGAUGCCUAGAUACACACUUUAGACG